This 745-nucleotide ribosomal RNA is filed under the name uncultured delta proteobacterium. RNAcentral describes it as "bacterial SSU rRNA". It matches the Rfam family "Bacterial small subunit ribosomal RNA", at positions 24 to 749 of the family's 1533-position model. Lineage: Bacteria; Deltaproteobacteria. The record is from RNAcentral.
UCAGAACGAACGCUGGCGGCGUGCUUAACACAUGCAAGUCGAACGCGAACGUUUCUUCGGGAAACUAGUAGAGUGGCGCACGGGUGAGUAACGCGUAAGUAAUCUACCCUCGCAUUUGGGAUAACCCACCGAAAGGUGUGCUAAUACCGGAUACGUCUACAAUUAUACUUUGUUUGUAGAGAAAGGUGGCCUCUGAUUUAAGCUACUGUGCGGGGAGGAGCUUGCGUACCAUUAGCUAGUUGGUAGGGUAAUGGCCUACCAAGGCAAUGAUGGUUAGCGGGUCUGAGAGGAUGAUCCGCCACACUGGAACUGGAACACGGACCAGACUCCUACGGGAGGCAGCAGUGAGGAAUAUUGCGCAAUGGGGGAAACCCUGACGCAGCGACGCCGCGUGGAUGAUGAAGGCUUCGGGUUUAAAAUCCUGUCAGAUGGAAGAAAUGCACUAUGUCUAAUAUAUGUAGUGUUUGACGGUACCAUUAAAGGAAGCACCGGCUAACUCCGUGCCAGCAGCCGCGGUAAUACGGAGGGUGCAAGCGUUGUUCGGAAUUACUGGGCGUAAAGCGCGCGUAGGCGGCUAUAUAAGUCAGGUGUGAAAGUCCACGGCUCAACCGUGGAAGUGCAUUUGAAACUGUGUAGCUUGAGUACUGGAGGGGGUAGUGGAAUUCCCGGUGUAGAGGUGAAAUUCGUAGAUAUCGGGAGGAAUACCGGUGGCGAAGCGACUACCUGGCCAGAUACUGAGCGCUGA